This 2605-nucleotide ribosomal RNA is filed under the name Triticum aestivum (bread wheat). RNAcentral describes it as "partial small subunit ribosomal RNA". Lineage: Eukaryota; Viridiplantae; Streptophyta; Magnoliopsida; Poales; Poaceae. The record is from RNAcentral.
UACGGCUUCCCCUUUUCAUUUUUUGCGCCGAGGAGAGCAGCUAGGGACGAGAGUGUGCGUUCGGAGGAGAGAAGAGAGGGGGGCCGAGCGGCGGUGGCGGCGGUGGUGAGUGCUGCCGGCUAAGGCCGCUCAUGGUCGCCGCCCACCGUCUAGUUGCUGGAGGGGUGCGGGGCGAGGAAGGAGGGUAGGGAGGACUAGGCUGCCCCCGCCUCCGCCGCGGAGCAGGCUGAGGAGGAGGGGCAGGAGUAGGAGGAGUAAGAGACGGCGGUGGCGGAGGAGGAGGUCGCGGGGAGGUCGCCGGCGUCGUUGUCGGGGCGGCCGCCGCCGUCCCUCAUGUUGAACAAGCCGCAGCACGGGCAGUCCGGCCGGCGGCCCAUGCCCCUGCUCCUCCUUCUCCUCCGCUCUCUAAACAAGCCGAGGCUGUUGCUCCUCAUGAAGUUCUGGGGGGCGCAUCGUUGAUGGAUUAAGGUCGCGCCCUACGCUGUUGAGUAGACCGGCCUCCUCUUGUACCGUCGCCAUAGAGGACCACUGCCGCCACCCCGUCCGUUACGAAGUUCCGCUGCCCGACUCCGCCGCCACGUCCCUAGGCGAGCCAGACAACAACAACGACUCCCGCCUACCUCGUCGGCCCCGUCCAAGCAGGCACUACGGUUCAAAUAAAAAUCUUCCCUAAACUCUACCGCGGGCUGUAAUAUCAUUCAUGUUCUGACAACGACUUACUCACCACACACGUUGGUCUGGAGGCAGGUGAACAAAGUAGCAAACUUGUAAGUGGCCAAGAACUCUUAGACUGCGAAGUUAACGCAUUCCAUGUUGAUUCGGAUUGAGUAGACCAAGGACUUGGAGAGGUGGUUGAAGAAAGUUCCCCUCUAGGACUUACAGCCGUAGGAACCUGGAAGCUUUCGUCAACAUUCGAAUUGAGAUCGGAGUAGAGUAAGGUGGAACACACAGGAAAUACUAGAGUCGUCUACAAUAUUUAUACUUACUAACCAUAGAUAAUCGAACAUGGUGUUCAGGUGUUGACAUAACCGAACAUUGUGUUCAGGUGUUGACAUGACCUAGUCUAACACGAGACCACGUAAAGUUUACUACGUCCAUACAGCUUUUAGACCUCGAAACGUCCGACGGGUAGGUAUUCCCAACGGCACCUUAGGAGCCCAAGGGAGGUCACGACGGCGUCUUUUACUAGAAUACGAUCUAACUAACAAGUUCAUAAACUAAUGACUAUCCUUGUCAGUCGAAUAAAAUAAAACAUUUUUCUGUCCUUGUUAUAGGUCAUGCUAACUGAAGAAGACAUUGUCGAAGUAACUCCUCGAGUUUCCAGCACUGACACUGACAAGAAUCCGGUUAUGAAAGUAAACAACAAUAUUGUAAACGUAGUAAGAAGUGUUCAACGCUUUAGUUCGUACGAUUGCCACCGCUCGCUAAACUCGCGGUUACUGAGUUGUUGACUAAUAGUUAGUCCAAACAGAUAAAAUAAAAGUAGCCGUUACGACGUAGGAAAAACUCAACGUUACUAGUAUACCAAGUCUAUCUGUUAAAUUAGUAAAAAGAAAAGAUAUGGUUCAAAUACGAAGUUAGCUAAUUGUUAAUAAAACUUAGUGUUUGGAUAAUAAGAAACCUCACCGGUUUACACAUAGAAACUUAGAGGUUCACGGUGGCCUCCCGAUAUAUAUAAAGUAACCAAGUACCUAGUAAUCCUCCGUGUAUUACCAUCUUUAUUAAUCGAACGUUCAAGAUAUAACGGUCUCCUCAGUAUUAAGCACAUCCCCUCGUUUCGGUAUGUACUAUUCGUUCCCCUUGUACGUUGUAUGCAUCGGCUCGCACAGUUGUGGUGUAUGUUGUCGAUAUAGGUCGUUUAAAAGAAAACUAAAACGAAAUAAGAUAACUAGUCUAAAAGGUUCAGUAAAAAGGAAGCUCCAUAAAUCGUAACGGUUUAAAUAUAUAAAUGGAUUUAAAUUAGAACUGAGCUAAACGACACCAGUUAUGUUCGUACUACGGAAAAGAAAAGAUAUUUCACCUACGUCCCAAUCAAAUGAUACGGCUAGACUCGCUCGCAGUCCGCGCGUUUCGAGUGGCAGGUGUACGGAGGAGAAGCAGACGUAGGCGUCACGGUUUAGUGAGGGGUAGGCUCGUCGAUAUAGAUUUGAAGAACUAUUACGUCAUCUACUCCUUGUUUACAAAUGUCUAGUGUGCUGAUGAGGUGUUAGAUUUUGUGACUCAUAAAACUUCAACCAACAAGUUCGUCUGUGUUACACGUGACUGUUUUCUACCGUCCUUGUUACCAUGUGUCAGUACUAUAUUAUUGCAACAUCUAUCUACCUCUGACUUAAUCAAGUGUAAUGAAACUACAGAUAGCUCGGUUACCUUGUUGUUUCUUUUCUUCUUGGCCUUCGUCCAAAAGAUAGAAGUGGUCAUAAAGGAACAAAGAUUAACAACCGAGAAAGGAUACCGGAUUCAAGUUGCUUGACGAGACUUUCCCCUACAACUCCCACUGCGGCGGCGGCUCGUUCAGCCGUAGACAUUUCGAAACGGCCUCGGUAAGGUCGAGAAAGUCUCGGUGUUCCGUUCCUUCGGCUCCUUGAUCCUGCGGUUGUCACGCCUC